UAAAAGAUUUUGAUUUUUGAUUGUAUAUUUUUCUUACAUAAUUUUUAUGCAUGUGAAUUUUUGUUAGUAAUUAAUUUCUUAAUGAUUAGUUUUUUAUUUUCAGUGUUUUAUUUUUAUUUAAUUAUUUUUUUAAUUUGAGAAAUUUUUUUACAUCAGAAUAAUUUUGUGCCAGCAUUCGCGGUUAUACAUUAUGGUGAGGAAAAAUUUUUUGGAUUUCAGAUUUUUUUUUAUUGUUUGUAUUUGGGUGAAAUCAAUAUUUAUUUUUUUUUAAAAUUUUCUGAAAAGGCCUUUUAAAAACCAGGAUUAGAUACCCUGUUAUUUUGAAUUAGUUUUUUAUUUCCGGGUAGUAUAUUUUAUUUGAAAUUCAAUGGAUCUGGCGGUUUUUAAAUCUUUUUAGAGGAACCUGUAUUUUAAAUGAUAGUCCACGAUAAAUGUUACCUUUAUUUUCUUGUAUAUCUCUGUCGUUGAAUGUAUUGAAAAUUCUAUUUUCUUUUUAUUUAUUUUAUUUAUGUUAGGUCAAGGUGCAGUUAUAUGUAGGUCAAUAUGGGUUACAUUUAUUUUUGUUAUUGGAUUUUUUUUGUUUAUAAUUAAUGAAUUUGGAUUUAAAAGUAAUAUUUUUUUUUUAAUUUUAUGAAUUUUGCUCUUAAUAAUGUACAUAUCGCCCGUCAUUCUCAUAAAGUGAGACAAGUCGUAACAAAGUAGAUGUAUCGGAAGAUGUAUCUAGAAUUA
Molecule: non-coding RNA, 729 nt
Filed under: Geisha distinctissima
Lineage: Eukaryota; Metazoa; Arthropoda; Insecta; Hemiptera; Flatidae
Source: RNAcentral